AUGAUUUUGAUUAGGUUAGUAAAGUGCAAGUGCUCAACAUUAAUUUAUUUACAUGUGAUUGUGAAUUUACAUUUUAAAUUACAUAAUCUUUAAAAGAUACAUUGAUAUGACGUAUGUAGCCAAGAAGGGCAAUGAAUUAAAAAAAAAACAUUGACCAAGAGUAAUUUACCUUGGGUAUGGACUAUUCUUGACAGACUUCUUUCCAUACUUCCUCCAUUUGUAUCCAUCAUCCAUAAUCUCAAGCUGCGAUCUCGUUCUAAACGUAACCCUUGGGCUCACAUCUACUGUAUUUUCCUUCAUCACCCCGCUUUUACGUUUCCUCACUUGCAUCAUGUUAUUGUUGUUGUUGGUAGAGGUUUCAAUUUC
Molecule: long non-coding RNA, 366 nt
Filed under: Medicago truncatula (barrel medic)
Lineage: Eukaryota; Viridiplantae; Streptophyta; Magnoliopsida; Fabales; Fabaceae
Description: lncRNA gene18383
Source: RNAcentral